Molecule: ribosomal RNA, 256 nt
Filed under: uncultured bacterium
Lineage: Bacteria
Description: partial 16S ribosomal RNA
Rfam family: Bacterial small subunit ribosomal RNA
Source: RNAcentral
UACGUAGGGUGCGAGCGUUGUCCGGAAUUACUGGGCGUAAAGAGCUCGUAGGUGGUUUGUCGCGUUGUUCGUGAAAACUCAACGGCUUAACUGUGAGCGUGCGGGCGAUACGGGCAGACUAGAGUACUGCAGGGGAGGACUGGAAUUCCUGGUGUAGCGGUGGAAUGCGCAGAUAUCAGGAGGAACACCGGUGGCGAAGGCGGGUCUCUGGGCAGUAACUGACGCUGAGGAGCGAAAGCGUGGGGGAGCGAACAGG